CAAUACCGCGUGAGGGAAGAAGGCUUUUGGGUUGUAAACCUCUUUUGUCAGGGAAGAAGAAUUGACGGUACCUGAAGAAAAAGCAUCGGCUAACUCCGUGCCAGCAGCCGCGGUAAUACGGAGGAUGCAAGCGUUAUCCGGAAUCAUUGGGCGUAAAGGGUCCGCAGGUGGCGAAUAAAGUCUGCUGUUAAAGACCGGGGCUUAACUCCGGAAAGGCAGUGGAAACUGAUUAGCUAGAGUACGGUAGGGGUAGAGGGAAUUCCCAGUGUAGCGGUGAAAUGCGUAGAUAUUGGGAAGAACACCGGUGGCGAAAGCGCUCUACUAGGCCGAAACUGACACUGAGGGACGAAAGCUAGGGUAGCG
RNAcentral lists this ribosomal RNA (363 nucleotides) under uncultured Prochloron sp. Its description in RNAcentral is "bacterial SSU rRNA". It matches the Rfam family "Bacterial small subunit ribosomal RNA", at positions 392 to 770 of the family's 1533-position model. The record is from RNAcentral. Lineage: Bacteria; Bacillati; Cyanobacteriota; Cyanophyceae; Chroococcales; Prochloraceae.